Molecule: ribosomal RNA, 274 nt
Filed under: uncultured bacterium
Lineage: Bacteria
Description: partial 16S ribosomal RNA
Rfam family: Bacterial small subunit ribosomal RNA
Source: RNAcentral
AUACGGAGGGUGCAAGCGUUAUUCGGAAUUACUGGGCGUAAAGCGCGCGUAGGCGGUUUGCUCAGUCGGAUGUGAAAGCCCAGGGCUCAACCUUGGAACUGCAUACGAUACUGGCAAACUAGAGUGUGAGAGAGGAUAGUGGAAUUUCCGGUGUAGCGGUGAAAUGCGUAGAUAUCGGAAGGAACAUCAGUGGCGAAGGCGACUGUCUGGCUCAACACUGACGCUGAGGUGCGAAAGCGUGGGUAGCAAACAGGAUUAGAAACCCCAGUAGUCC